RNAcentral lists this small RNA (108 nucleotides) under Methylomonas lenta. RNAcentral describes it as "t44 RNA". It matches the Rfam family "t44 RNA". Rfam says of the family: This family consists of a number of bacterial RNA genes of between 135 and 170 bases in length. The t44 gene is found between the map and rpsB genes in all species in the full alignment apart from Shigella flexneri. Lineage: Bacteria; Pseudomonadati; Pseudomonadota; Gammaproteobacteria; Methylococcales; Methylococcaceae. The record is from Rfam by way of RNAcentral.
AGUUCACUAUGUUAAAUACUCACGUCUGUCGACACGAUUGGUGGGGUGCUGGUCAAUGUGUAUAUCACAAAAGACUGGUCAUCGGUCGGGACAGUACGGAGGCGUAAC